Molecule: ribosomal RNA, 393 nt
Filed under: uncultured bacterium
Lineage: Bacteria
Description: partial 16S ribosomal RNA
Rfam family: Bacterial small subunit ribosomal RNA
Source: RNAcentral
AUACGGAGGAUCCGAGCGUUAUCCGGAUUUAUUGGGUUUAAAGGGUGCGCAGGCGGGAGAUUAAGUCGGCGGUGAAAUUUUGCAGCUCCACUGUAAAAGGGCCUUUCAAAAUGGGUUCCUUGAGUGUAGAUGCAGUAGGCGGAAUUUGUGGGGUAGCGGUGGAAUGCAUAGAUAUCACGAGGAACUCCGAUUGCGCAGGCAGCUUACUAAACUACUACUGACGCUCAGGCACGAAGGCGUGGGGAUCAAACAGGAUUAGAUACCCUGGUAGUCCACGCAGUAAACGAUGGUUACUAGCUGUUUGCGAUACAAUGUAAGCGGCUGAGCGAAAGCGUUAAGUAAUCCACCUGGGGAGUACGUUCGCAAGAAUGAAACUCAAAUGAAUUGACGGGG